UUACGGCCGCAUCAAGUUGAAACACCUGAUCCUCUGCGAUCACAGAAGUUAAGCAAUGUCAAGCCUGAUUAGUAUCUAGAUGAGUGACCGCCUGGGAAUAACAGAUGCUGCAAG
Acanthosepion pharaonis is the source of this 114-nucleotide non-coding RNA. The record is from the annotation of a GenBank genome assembly. NCBI's taxonomy places the organism in Eukaryota, Metazoa, Mollusca, Cephalopoda, Sepiida, Sepiidae.